This 403-nucleotide ribosomal RNA is filed under the name uncultured bacterium. RNAcentral's name for it is "partial 16S ribosomal RNA". It matches the Rfam family "Bacterial small subunit ribosomal RNA", at positions 28 to 526 of the family's 1533-position model. The record is from RNAcentral.
GACGAACGCUGGCGGCGUGCCUAAUACAUGCAAGUCGAACGCAGUGGGGACGGGUGAGUAACACGUGGGUAACCUCCCAUCAGAGGGGUGAACACUUGGAAACAGGCGCUAAACCGAUAUUGGUGGAAGGACCGGCGGGGCAUUAGCUAGUUGGUGAGGUAACGGCUCACCAAGGCCACAAUGCAUAGCCGACCUGAGAGGGUGAUCGGCCACACUGGGACUGAGACACGGCCCAGACUCCUACGGGAGGCAGCAGUAGGGAAUCUUCGACAAUGGACGAAAGUCUGACCGAGCAACGCCGCGUGAGUGAAGAAGGUUUUCGGAUCGUAAAACUCUGUUGUUAGAGAAGCGGUAUCCAACCAGAAAGCCACGGCUAACUACGUGCCAGCAGCCGCGGUAAUUC